AGUUUGUUAAUAUGGAAGAUGUCAGAAAAAUGAAAAACUCAGAAACCUUGAUCAAGGCAUCAAGACAACAGGACACAUCAUUUUGACAUAGGAAUUUUUAUAGAUCGCAUGGGACUGGCAGUACUCCAGAAUUAGUUCCAGGCUGAAAUCCCUUGUGAUUAUAUAACAGCUCUCAAGAGGAAGCUGCUAACAAGACCAUCUGACAUUUUUUUGCCAGCUGUUUUAGUGGAGGCGUGUUGGAUUAGACUGAGCUCCACCUUCUCUGAUGAGCAAAGCAUUUGGAAAAUGACAGAGCCUGAAGAAAAAGGAAUUUCAAAAUCUGGCUCCCCAUUUUCUCCUGAGCAGGUCUGCUCUUCUACAUGUGUGGACAAGUAG
RNAcentral lists this long non-coding RNA (375 nucleotides) under Anser brachyrhynchus (Pink-footed goose). Its description in RNAcentral is "lncRNA (ENSABRG00000006959.1)". The record is from RNAcentral. Lineage: Eukaryota; Metazoa; Chordata; Aves; Anseriformes; Anatidae.